RNAcentral lists this unclassified non-coding RNA (331 nucleotides) under soil metagenome. Its description in RNAcentral is "partial contains 5.8S ribosomal RNA, internal transcribed spacer 2, and large subunit ribosomal RNA". The stretch from base 1 to 120 matches the Rfam family "5.8S ribosomal RNA", at positions 35 to 154 of the family's 154-position model. The record is from RNAcentral.
GAUGAAGAACGUAGCGAAAUGCGAUAAGUAAUGUGAAUUGCAGAAUUCAGUGAAUCAUCGAAUCUUUGAACGCACAUUGCGCCCCCUGGUAUUCCGGGGGGCAUGCCUGUUCGAGCGUCAUUUCACCACUCAAGCCUCGCUUGGUAUUGGGCAACGCGGUCCGCCGCGUGCCUCAAAUCGACCGGCUGGGUCUUCUGUCCCCUAAGCGUUGCGGAAACUAUUCGCUAAAGGGUGUUCGGGAGGCUACGCCGUAAAACAACCCCAUUUCUAAGGUUGACCUCGGAUCAGGUAGGGAUACCCGCUGAACUUAAGCAUAUCAAUAAGCGGAGGA